UACGGGGGGGGCAAGCGUUGUUCGGAAUUACUGGGCGUAAAGGGCUCGUAGGUGGCCAACUAAGUCAGACGUGAAAUCCCUCGGCUUAACCGAGGAACUGCGUCUGAUACUGGAUGGCUUGAGUUUGGGAGAGGGAUGCGGAAUUCCAGGUGUAGCGGUGAAAUGCGUAGAUAUCUGGAGGAACACCGGUGGCGAAGGCGGCGACCUGGACGAUGACUGACGCUGAGACGCGAAAGCGUGGGGAGCAAACAGG
Molecule: ribosomal RNA, 253 nt
Filed under: uncultured bacterium
Lineage: Bacteria
Description: partial 16S ribosomal RNA
Rfam family: Bacterial small subunit ribosomal RNA
Source: RNAcentral